UGCGUAGGCGGUUUCUUAAGUCGGAUGUGAAAGCCCUGGGCUCAACCUGGGAAUGGCACUCGAUACUGGGAAGCUUGAGUGCGGUAGAGGAGGGUGGAAUUCCCGGUGUAGCGGUGAAAUGCGUAGAGAUCGGGAGGAACAUCAGUGGCGAAGGCGACCCUCUGGACCAGCACUGACGCUGAGGCACGAAAGCGUGGGGAGCAAACAGGAUUAGAUACCCUGGUAGUCCACGCCCUAAACGAUGCGAACUGGAUGUUGGGCUCAACUCGGAGCUCAGUGUCGAAGCUAACGCGUUAAGUUCGCCGCCUGGGGAGUACGCUCGCAAGAGUGAA
RNAcentral lists this ribosomal RNA (332 nucleotides) under uncultured Dyella sp. RNAcentral's name for it is "bacterial SSU rRNA". It matches the Rfam family "Bacterial small subunit ribosomal RNA", at positions 568 to 898 of the family's 1533-position model. The record is from RNAcentral. Lineage: Bacteria; Pseudomonadati; Pseudomonadota; Gammaproteobacteria; Lysobacterales; Rhodanobacteraceae.